Paramuricea clavata is the source of this 1541-nucleotide non-coding RNA. The record is from the annotation of a GenBank genome assembly. Lineage: Eukaryota; Metazoa; Cnidaria; Anthozoa; Malacalcyonacea; Plexauridae.
GUAUAUCAAUUGUGUUUUUCGCUUGCUACUUUGGAUUAAAUAAAUAAUUACAAAGCCCGGUGGAAUUGUAAUCAAGACCCAGCGUUUAGACACUCCAGUCUAGUGUCUUCUUUAGGAGUGAUCUAAAGUUGUAAUUGUGGCUUCUUAAAUACCCAAGGGAUGACAUCACCUGCCAAUAAGAUGCAUGUAUUCCUCUGGCAAAUAGGCACCGUCAUCCCUAUUCACAGCAUAAUUACUCAUAUUUAUAUGCCAUGCUUCUAGGCAUAGUCUUUGACCAUGAUAGCGAUUGUUUGUGGUAAUUACUUUAGAUUUUUCCGACACAAUCUCGUGUUUGGUGCCACACACAUGUUCUGAUAAAGCUGAUUUUCCCUUGUUUUAAAGUUGAAACAGCCUUUUGAUGUUCUUUUAGCCAUGUACCAAACUAGUGUUAAGACUGACCCAAAUACUCUUUUUCGCAGUCACCGCAUGGUAUAGAAUAUACAGCAUGAGUUUUCUGAUUUGUUUUAACAGGAUCUUUUGGCUUUGCGAAAAUAUGGCCUAAAGUCAAAUACGGUUUUAAGGCAACAUUAAUAUCAUAUUACAUGCAUCUCAUUGGCAGGUGACGUCAUCCCUUGGGUAUUUAAGAAGCGACAAUUGCAACUUUAGAUCACCCCUGAUGAAGACACUAGACUGGAGUGUCAAAACGUUGGGUCUUCAUUACAAUUCAACUGGACUUUGUAAUAAUUUAUUUAAACCAGAGUAGCGAGCGAAACAUGCUCCCAGUUAGUUCUAUGAAACACAUGUUAACUGACUGUACAGUUUCCAUUUGAAAUGUCCAUCUACAAAAACCCAUGAUCAGUCUGCUAUUAUUGCCUUGCUAGAGUAGGCUGUUGAUUGUCUCCUAUAUUUAAUAUUGGCUAUUUGCAACAUCCUGCAAUCCAUCAUAUUAUACACAUCCAGCCAUGAUAUCAUCAAUCAAACUUUGAACUUAGAACUGCAUUCAAAGAAUGUUAUCGAGCGUAAGAAUAUAUCAUUAUAUGCUAAAGCAAAUUGUAUUUCCUGUUACAAUACUGUAUACCUUGUAUAUAGAGGGAUAAUAAAUUAUUUUGACUUCAGGAGGGCUAUUAUAGCAUGCAUGAUUUAAGGAGCAGCAACUCAGCAAGGGGCUCAUUUUGGGGGCAUUCCUCGCAUGUUCCGCUGCAUGUACUCACAUGCAUGUUUACUAUUCCAAAAUGUUUCAUGGUUUUAUUGUGAAAUUAAAGUUAUUACAAAGAUCGACGUGAUUUAGUUAUAUUAUAUAUAUAGGAUUGAGUAAUAUAACUUCGUUAAAUUUCAUUGAAAUAAAUUUUAUUCAAGUGUUUGAUUUAUGGCUAUUGGUGAAUAUACUUUUCAAGACUGCAUGCAUGCACAAGUUAGGUAACGCGUGUUAAUUUAAUUUGCUUUUCACUGACAAUUUGAGUGAAAACUGUCGGUUUGUUUACUGAUUUCAGUAAAGUGAUGUUGUACUCAAGAAUUUGAGUCACUGUGCGUGAAUUUGCUUUACUCAUAAAUUUGAGUAUUUU